RNAcentral lists this long non-coding RNA (1039 nucleotides) under Homo sapiens (human). RNAcentral's name for it is "HSALNT0160258". Lineage: Eukaryota; Metazoa; Chordata; Mammalia; Primates; Hominidae. The record is from RNAcentral.
CAACAUUAUCCAACAUUAUCCUGGAGUCUCUAGCCAAUGCAUACAACAGCAAAACCACUAAGAUAAACAAAUAUAUGAAUGGAAAAGACAGACUUUUAAAUUCUCAGGCGAUGUAUCUACUUAAAAUUUUAAAACAAAGUCAAACAAUCCAUUAAAAGCUAUUAAGUAUAGAAACUAAAAACUGUCCUGUGUACUAUAUAUCAGUGAAGCUCAUUUAUAAAAUGUAGUAUAAAAGGUGAGUCACAAGAGCAACAAGAACUAAAAUAUUUUUAGAAUUGCUAGAAAAUUUCAAAUCUAUAUAAGGAAAAUUGUAAAUAUUUAUUGCAGGUAUAAAAGAAAACAUCAGGAAAAAAAGAGGCACAGAUCAUCACUGCUCCACCUAAUUUCAAUAACCAUGAUUUAAUUAAAUAACUCUGAGAUCUUUAGCCCAAGAAGGAGUAGGUGAGUCUUAGCCUGCUUUCUUGGCUAUUGAAUGCUUCUCGAAAGGAUGCCGAAGAACUUGCUGGAGAAGAUGUACCUGGUAAAUAACGUGGGCAGAUAAAUGUUGAUUAUAAUUACCCAGGACCCUGAUGAAUUUCUACAUUUCUAAAAGGCAAGGUCAAUUUUAAAUGUUUAAAAAUGUUUCUACUUUGGGAAGCAGAAGCAGGCAGAUCACUGGAGGUCAGGAGUUGAAGACCAGCCUGGCAAACAUUGUGAAACCUUGUCUGUAUUAAAAACGCAAAAAUUAGCUGGGCAUGGAGGCGUCUGCCUGGACUCCCAGCUACUUGGGAAUUUGAUGCAGGAGAAUGGCUUGAAACUGAAUGUGGAGGACGCAGUGAGCCGAGAUCACGACACUAUACUCCAGCCUGGGCAACAAAGCUAGAUUGUCUCAUAUCGAACAAACAGCAAUAAAAGUUCAUACAUUUUGUUUUAUGAAAAAUCUCAACUCUACUUCUUACUUAGAAUUGUUAUUAUUGCACAGAAGUUCCUUAAGUAUUAUUUUUAUACUAAACUAAGAGAAGGAAUAUGUACACUGUCACGGAGAGUACACAUAUAUCCC